AUAAACGAUAGAGGUCGCAACCAAUAAUAAGCUAAACAGAGCUAGAGCAUGCUGAGAAGUUUAGCCCAGGAGCGGUUGCCGAAAGAGAAGUUAUGCUCACAGACUUUUCUUGGUUUAGCGGGAAACACCUGUUAAACUGUCGUGGUCUUACUAUGGCCACGAUGCGCUAUUCGGAUG
Molecule: regulatory RNA element, 177 nt
Organism: Lactococcus garvieae Lg2
Lineage: Bacteria; Bacillati; Bacillota; Bacilli; Lactobacillales; Streptococcaceae
Rfam family: Lysine riboswitch aptamer
About the family: Riboswitches are metabolite binding domains within certain messenger RNAs that serve as precision sensors for their corresponding targets.
Source: Rfam